GCCCAGAUAGCUCAGUCGGUAGAGCAGUGGCCUGAAGAGCCAUGUGCGGGGGUUCAAUUCCCUCUCUGGGCA
Triplophysa rosa is the source of this 72-nucleotide non-coding RNA. The record is from the annotation of a RefSeq genome assembly. Lineage: Eukaryota; Metazoa; Chordata; Actinopteri; Cypriniformes; Nemacheilidae.